GUGCUGCGCCGCGCCGUUUCUCUACCACACGGCGGCCGCGGCCAGGACUGAGCUCGGCUUCGCGGGCACGGGGGUAUUCUCGUGACGUGUGCUGGGGACCAACGGGUACCGGAGCUGUGGAGGGAAGAGCAUCCCCUUCCCCUCCCGCCUCCGCUGGAUAAAACCGUCUAAGCAGCCUUCGUGCCUUCCCCGGGACGCCUUUCCGGGCCGCAGGAGGAGGUAGAGCCCGAGGAACCUCCGGUUUGUAGGCAGCACGGAGAGUUUUCAGUGCAGGGCAGGAGGAACGAGGGACAGCCAGCUCCGUAGCCGCGAUAAACAGCUGCGGUUGGUGCUGAGGCGCUCCUGGCCUCCUCAGCGCGGGAACGAGCUAUUCCUCCUGACUUUCAGGAUCAGUGCAAGUCUCACACGUCUGUAGAAGUAGCACCGAUGGCAGGCAACAUUUAAACUUAAAAACAAACAACAAAAACAGCAACAUAAUCUCCACUUGGAAAUCUGUUAAGUCAGUGUGGACAAGAAUAUUUACAUUUUAGGUACCAGAGGUACUUAAAGCAGCUCUUACUGCACCCGAGAAGAUGGCGGCACUGAGUGAAUGUGAGGAGGCGAUCAAAGUUGAUGAAAUUCACCACUUGUUUCUUUACAAACUGCUUUUCUGACCAAACAUGCAGCUGCAGUACUAUUUCAUUUUGAUGAGCUGGUUCUUAAGGACAUGUUUUUACUGUGGUCAGCUUACUUCCCAGCUGAGCUUUGUACACACAUGCAGCACCUUGCUGUCAGUAUUUUUGAACCCAUUUAUUCUUAAGCAAAUUUUCUGACUAAAGUCGUUGCAUUUUGAUCUAAAUCUUCUACAGAAUGCCAAACCUAAUGAAAUGGACAGCACUGUAGAUUAAGAUGAUUCCUAGCUUCCCCUGCUGACUUUUUCUUAUCACAUUAGGAGUAAUAAUCAUCUUCAAGUGCAUCCAUUGCCUUUACUGCUGUAAACCAUACUGCUGUCAUUGCCUGCAGCAUUUCUGUAGGAGCAGGUCAGUUGCAGCACAGCAUUGUACCCCAGCUGGUGCAGGUUACCAUUAUGAUGGUCUGUUUCCUCACAGCUUCCAAUGUACUAGACAUUUCUGUUUUGGAGUAUGCACAUUUGCACUCCCCUGUCAAAGCCUGCUGAGGACAACUACUACAAGCUUCUCAUAAUCCUGUGGUCCAGCCAACUGUCCUAUACAGGAAUCAGCACAGAAAGAGCAUGAGGUCUGUAUGCGCAUCCACAAAAGGAAGAGCAUGAGGUCAAAAUGCCAUCUCUGAAGGACUGCCAGAAGUUCAAAUGCAAAGUUCAUCUUCUUGACAUACGGACUUCCAUCCAGAUGAUAGUCCAUUAAAAGCUCAAGGGCAAAACAGGAUCUGGAAGACUGUAGUAUAAAGCUCUCAUCUACAUACUCUGAUUCUUUUGCUUGAGAAAAUAGUGUACUGAUAUAGGAGGUUUGAGAUUUUUUGUUGCUUUCUUUUCUUUUUUUCUACAUGCUCUCAAACUGACCUAACUAUACUUGAAAAAUGCUGGGUCAGGACAGGCUCCAUUUAUCCCAGAGUAUGUUUUGAGGACGUUUCCUAUGGCUUGGCAAUAGAAUAACUGGUAUGAUCAGAUAAACAUGGCUAUCUUGGCAUUGCGGGUGGCAUUUUCUUGGCAUUUUCUACAAAGACCACUUUUUUGUUGCUUACAAAGCACUGUUACACUAAACAAUCUCCUCAGUGUCAGUACAAUACAAUUCUAUAGAUUUCUGGGCUGCUGUGAUCUCAAAUUUCUAGGUCUGAUAGACAGACUUUAUGAUCACCUAUAGAACUGCUUCCUCUUUAGAAAUGAUUAUAUGAUGUUCACUAUAUAGCUGGGAAUAGUUAAUCAACAUGAAGCUAGCCUGUUUUGUAUAUUUUGAUAAUUUUCUUUUAAAUUACAUUGCUAAUUCUUUCUGUUAGUAAAAUAUGCAUGUUACUGAAAACCAGUUGUAUCGUAUCUCAGUUAAAUGUAUUUUUUAUUAAACUUCUUGAAGUACUGUUCAUUUAUUAAUACAUAUGAGCAUAACCAGUUUACCAAACCUUGAUCUUUUACACAUCAGGAACCUGUUAUAUCAUUUCUUAACACUAAUAUUUUUUUUGUGUGGCUGCUGUCCAGGCCUACGUGUCAUUUCCACUGACACUUUUUGGCAGUUCAAUAAAUAAUCCAGAUCCUGGGAUACUGUCCAUGCAGGGUCAGAUAUGUAUGUUGUGAUUUAUGCAUGAUUUUGACCUGUAGGAAUGGGUGUCACACUAUUUCUGUGAGCAGAUAGAUAGAACAAAAAAAAAAAAGAGGUAAAAGCUGCUAGCUAUCCAUCAGCAGUUCUCACUAAAUCUUAUGGAACACGUCAAAGUAGUGGACAUGCAGAGUAGCAGAUAAUAAGUAAGGAUGUCAGAGUCUUAUUUAUGAUAUAAGAAAUAUCUGGUAGGAUAGAAAGUAUACAAGGUUACAGGCGGUUUUAAAAUUGAGCUAGUAAUUUAUCCAGGAGCUAGAAAUUUCUGUAAUGACUGCUGACUUUCUGCUCUGGUGUUUAAAGUGAUGCUAAUUGAGCUUGGCAGAUUGGUUAGUUCCACUACAGUUAGUAUUACUGUACUUUUAUGUGGUUUUAUUUUGAUGUGCAAUAUAAUUUGAAUAAAUUAAACUGUGGUUAACCUAAAUUAUUAAUGAUUGCUGCAUGAAUACAAGGACUACAGGCAGGCCCAGAUAACACCUGCAAGGGAUUACUGAGACAAUAGCAAUAAAACAAUUGAUAAACAC
This is a long non-coding RNA of Gallus gallus (chicken), 2788 nucleotides long. RefSeq lists it as uncharacterized. The record is from RefSeq and is a predicted model, not a curated record. The transcript is spliced from 2 exons. NCBI's taxonomy places the organism in Eukaryota, Metazoa, Chordata, Aves, Galliformes, Phasianidae.